AAGCCUACGGGACGCAGCAGUGGGGAAUAUUGGGCAAUGGGCGCAAGCCUGACCCAGCAACGCCGCGUGAAGGAAGAAGGCUUUCGGGUUGUAAACUUCUUUUCUGAGGGACGAUAGUGACGGUACCUCAGGAAUAAGCCACGGCUAACUACGUGCCAGCAGCCGCGGUAAUACGUAGGUGGCAAGCGUUAUCCGGAUUUACUGGGUGUAAAGGGCGUGUAGGCGGGAUGGUAAUUCAGAUGUUAAAACUAUGGGCUCAACCCAUAGCCUGCAUUCGCAACUAUCGUUCUU
Molecule: ribosomal RNA, 291 nt
Filed under: uncultured bacterium
Lineage: Bacteria
Description: partial 16S ribosomal RNA
Rfam family: Bacterial small subunit ribosomal RNA
Source: RNAcentral